UACCCAUAUUACAAAUGCGAAAUGUGUUUGUUUGUUGGUUUGUCCUUCAAUCACGUCGCAACGGGGCAACGGAAUGGGUAUAGUUUAAGACCUGGAGUGACAUAGGCUGCUUUUCGUCCCGGAAAAUCAAAUAGUUCCUAUGGGAUGUUUAGAAACCUAAAUCCACGCGGACGAAGUCGCGGGCAUCAGCCAGUUAGUGAUAAUUUGUAAAAAAUAAUU
Long non-coding RNA from Maniola jurtina (meadow brown), 219 nucleotides. RefSeq lists it as uncharacterized. NCBI's taxonomy places the organism in Eukaryota, Metazoa, Arthropoda, Insecta, Lepidoptera, Nymphalidae. The transcript is spliced from 3 exons. The record is from RefSeq and is a predicted model, not a curated record.